This 335-nucleotide unclassified non-coding RNA is filed under the name soil metagenome. Its description in RNAcentral is "partial contains 5.8S ribosomal RNA, internal transcribed spacer 2, and large subunit ribosomal RNA". The stretch from base 1 to 120 matches the Rfam family "5.8S ribosomal RNA", at positions 35 to 154 of the family's 154-position model. The record is from RNAcentral.
GAUGAAGAACGUAGCGAAAUGCGAUAAGUAAUGUGAAUUGCAGAAUUCAGUGAAUCAUCGAAUCUUUGAACGCACAUUGCGCCCGCCAGUAUUCUGGCGGGCAUGCCUGUUCGAGCGUCAUUUCCACCAUCAAGCCCCCGGCUUGUGUUGGGGACCUGCGGCUGCCGCAGGCCCUGAAAACCAGUGGCGGGCUCGCUAGUCACUCCGAGCGUAGUAAUACAUCUCGCUCAGGGCGUGCUGCGGGUUCCGGCCGUUAAAAAGCCUUAUUUACCCAAGGUUGACCUCGGAUCAGGUAGGAAGACCCGCUGAACUUAAGCAUAUCAAUAAGCGGAGGA